CCCCACUAUGCCUAGCCCUAAACCUUGGCAAUAUAUCACAUACCCUGCCCGCCUGGGAACUACGAGCAUCAGCUUAAAACCCAAAGGACUUGGCGGUGCUUUAGACCCCCCUAGAGGAGCCUGUUCUAGAACCGAUAACCCCCGUUCAACCUCACCCUUCCUUGUUUAUCCCGCCUAUAUACCGCCGUCGUCAGCUUACCCUGUGAAGGCCUAAAAGUAAGCACAACUGGCAAAACCCAAAACGUCAGGUCGAGGUGUAGCGCAUGGAGGGGGAAGAAAUGGGCUACAUUCCCUACAAUAGGGAACACGAAUGGUGCACUGAAAUACGCACCUGAAGGAGGAUUUAGUAGUAAGCGGGAAAUAGCGUGUUCCGCUGAAAUCGGCCCUGAAGCGCGCACACACCGCCCGUCACUCUCCCCAAGCUUACCACUUUUAAUAAUUAAAAACCCAAAAAUCGCGGAGGGGAGGCAAGUCGUAACAUGGUAAGUGUACUGGAAGGUGCAA
RNAcentral lists this ribosomal RNA (504 nucleotides) under Helicolenus dactylopterus. Its description in RNAcentral is "partial 12S ribosomal RNA". It matches the Rfam family "Bacterial small subunit ribosomal RNA", at positions 785 to 1517 of the family's 1533-position model. Lineage: Eukaryota; Metazoa; Chordata; Actinopteri; Perciformes; Sebastidae. The record is from RNAcentral.